This 407-nucleotide ribosomal RNA is filed under the name uncultured bacterium. Its description in RNAcentral is "partial 16S ribosomal RNA". It matches the Rfam family "Bacterial small subunit ribosomal RNA", at positions 29 to 526 of the family's 1533-position model. The record is from RNAcentral.
AUUGAACGCUGGCGGGAGGCCUAACACAUGCAAGUCGAGCGGAGCGGCGGACGGGGGAGGAAUGGCUAGGAAUCUGACUGGGAGUGGGGGAUAACGUCAGGAAACGGGCGCUAAUACCGCAUACUAUCAGAUGAGCCUAGGUCGGAUUAGCUAGUUGGAGGGGUAAAGGCAUACCAAGGCGACGAUCCGUAACUGGACUGAGAGGAUGAUCAGCCACACUGGGACUGAGACACGGCCCAGACUCCUACGGGAGGCAGCAGUGGGGAAUAUUGGACAAUGGGCGAAAGCCUGAUCCAGCCAUGCCGCGUGUGUGAAGAAGGUCUUCGGAUUGUAAAGCACUUUAAGUUGGGAGGCGUUACCAACAGAAUAAGCACCGGCUAACUACGUGCCAGCAGCCGCGGUAAUUC